UUCCGGUUGAUCCCGCCAGAGGUUACUGCUAUCGAGGUUCGACUAAGCCAUGCGAGUCGAAUGUAGCAAUACAUGGCGUACUGCUCAGUAACACGUGGACAACCUGCCCUUAGGUCGGGUAUAAACCCGGGAAACUGGGUAUAAUCCCCUAUAAGUCUCGGCUGCUGGAAUGCACCGAGAUUAAAAGCUCCGGCGCCUAAGGAUGGGUCUGCGGCCUAUCAGGUAGUAGUGGGUGUAGCGUACCUACUAGCCUACGACGGGUACGGGUUGUGAGAGCAAGAGCCCGGAGAUGGAUUCUGAGACACGAAUCCAGGCCCUACGGGGUGCAGCAGGCGCGAAAACUUUACAAUGCUGGCAACAGCGAUAAGGGAACCUCGAGUGCCAGGUUACAAAUCUGGCUGUCGAGAUGCCUAAAAAGCAUUUCAUAGCAAGGGCCGGGCAAGACCGGUGCCAGCCGCCGCGGUAACACCGGCGGCUCGAGUGGUAACCGUUAUUAUUGGGUCUAAAGGGUCUGUAGCCGGCCGGAUAAGUCUCUUGAGAAAUCUGGCAGCUUAACUGUCAGGCUUUCAGGAGAUACUGUCUGGCUCGAGGCCGGGAGAGGUGAGAGGUACUUCCGGGGUAGGGGUGAAAUCUUGUAAUCCUUGAAGGACCACCAGUGGCGAAGGCGUCUCACCAGAACGGACCUGACGGCAAGGGACGAAAGCUAGGGGCACGAACCGGAUUAGAUACCCGGGUAGUCCUAGCCGUAAACGAUACUCGCUAGGUGUCGGCCACGGUGCGACCGUUGUCGGUGCCGUAGGGAAGCCGUGAAGCGAGCCACCUGGGAAGUACGGCCGCAAGGCUGAAACUUAAAGGAAUUGGCGGGA
Molecule: ribosomal RNA, 866 nt
Filed under: uncultured Methanosaeta sp.
Lineage: Archaea; Methanobacteriati; Methanobacteriota; Methanomicrobia; Methanotrichales; Methanotrichaceae
Description: bacterial SSU rRNA
Rfam family: Archaeal small subunit ribosomal RNA
Source: RNAcentral